Molecule: long non-coding RNA, 1141 nt
Organism: Zophobas morio
Lineage: Eukaryota; Metazoa; Arthropoda; Insecta; Coleoptera; Tenebrionidae
Exons: 2
Source: RefSeq, a predicted model, not a curated record
CACUCAACAUUUUUCUUCUUUGUAGUAUAAAUACUUCAAAAAUUGUCGUUGUAUGUUCUCCAAUGAUAGAAUUUGAAUGUUGUAAUACGGAAACCACGCCAGGGUGCAAGAUUCCAAUUUUGAUCGAACCCAAGCAAAAAAUAUUACUUUCAAUGUUGCCGGAUUAGUAAAAUCCUUACAAUUGCGUACAAUAAAUCUCAACAUUUUUUUGAACUUGAUAGCUCCAGUUCAUUAAUUAGCUUUUUAAUCUGUCUCCUGUGAAUCCGUAAAUUCUGCGAUGAUCUUGUUUUUGAUCGUUUCGUACUUGUGUUCCGCAGGAGGAUUGACCAGGAUGUCCGAAACGGUCUGUAGUAUGAUGCCGUCCAAGGCGCUAACAACCAUGUAGUACUUUCACUACUAGUCAGAACCUAGUAGGCUAAUUACGUGAAACCAAACGUCAGUAUUGACAUUUUGCCAACUUCAAUGUCAUGGCUCAAAAUUUUCGCGAUGUUUCUUGACUUUCGGCAGUUAACCAAAAUUUUGUGUAACGCUGUACAGGUUCACAUUUAUUCUUCGCCAAAUUUUUUAAUGGAAUCCUUCAUAAACGUGUUAAUGCUCGUUUUUCACUGCUUGUUAAUAAUUGAAGUCAACUCUUUAAUAAGAAAAAUGAGCGUUCGUCCAAUUAAAAUAGCAAUAGAUCAGUCUUCAGUAGAUGUUAAGCGUAGGGAGUCGGAAUUUCAAGGUGUAGUGCGGAAACAUCCUGAGCUAGGAGUGGACGUUGUUUUUACAGAAAGCAGUUUACUGAGAGAUGAUUGGGAUACGACUGCUAAAAUCAACAAAAUAUUGUCAACAAGUUUAAGUGAAUAUAUCAGAAAAGAUUUACAGAAACUUCAGCCGAAGUUACUUACUGAUUCGAACCACAGCCAGCAAACGCAAGAGAACAAUUUUACGUCAAGUGUAGAAAAAUUGUAUGAGUUUUCGAUUAACGAGCCUCAUUUCAAAAAUAAAAGUGUUCUGGAGGAUUCACCGAAGGUUGAAGCAAAGAAAAUUAUGUUCUUACAUUAAACUAAAAUGAAGGAAAGAAAAAGCAAUGUUCAUUUAAAAUGCAGUACGUAUCUAAAGAGAUUUGUAAAUGAAUUUUAUAAAUAAAAUUGUUUUGUGG